Molecule: small RNA, 148 nt
Filed under: Pongo abelii (Sumatran orangutan)
Lineage: Eukaryota; Metazoa; Chordata; Mammalia; Primates; Hominidae
Description: Metazoan signal recognition particle RNA (ENSPPYG00000034898.1)
Source: Rfam by way of RNAcentral
GCUGGGCGUGGUGGCACGCGCCUGUAAUCCCAGCUACUUGGGAGGCUGAGGCAGGAGAAUCGCUUGAACCCAGGAGGCAGAGAUUGCAGUGAGCCGAGAUCAUGCCACUGCAUUCCAGCCUGGGCAACAGAGCAAGACUCUGUCUCAA